This 70-nucleotide transfer RNA is filed under the name chicken gut metagenome. It matches the Rfam family "tRNA". Rfam says of the family: Transfer RNA (tRNA) molecules are approximately 80 nucleotides in length. Their secondary structure includes four short double-helical elements and three loops (D, anti-codon, and T loops). Further hydrogen bonds mediate the characteristic L-shaped molecular structure. tRNAs have two regions of fundamental functional importance: the anti-codon, which is responsible for specific mRNA codon recognition, and the 3' end, to which the tRNAs corresponding amino acid is attached (by aminoacyl-tRNA synthetases). tRNAs cope with the degeneracy of the genetic code in two manners: having more than one tRNA (with a specific anti-codon) for a particular amino acid; and 'wobble' base-pairing, i.e. permitting non-standard base-pairing at the 3rd anti-codon position. The record is from RNAcentral.
GUUUGUAGCUCAGUAGGAAGAGCAACGGUUUCCUAAACCGGAGAUCGCGGGUUCGACUCCCGCCAGGCCC